UGGUGCAGCUUUCCUCUGUGAGCCUAGAAUCUUCUGAUGUGGUUGAGCAAUCUUCUUCCCUUUCUUUAUAGCACUUUUCUAUUGUGGUGGUCCUUUUGUUAUCAUGUGUUUCUUGUAACGCCUUUUCCAUUGUAUUGAUCUGUCUAAUUGCUACAUAUGGAAACAAGAGGAGACCUACUAGCAGAAAACUUCUGGAAGCAUGUGAAAAGCUAAUAUGCAGCCACAUGUGGACAGUUUUGGGGGCAGCAAGACUGGAGAGAAAUUAAAAAGGGCUGUGAGAGGUAUAGCAGAGGGACAUGGAACUAUGCCCAGGGUCAACAAGCAAGGGAAGGAAGGGUACUCAGCAGCUGUUAUUUAUUCACAAAGAAGAAACGCUAUCUCUGAAAAAACUGCUGUGGUCCAGUCUGUGUUAUUUACUUCACCGAUACCAUGGGCUGGGAGAAGCAGCACAUUACAACUGUUGUUGUCAGCAUCUCCUCCAGAAGACGUAACGUAUAGUCUCUAUGCCCUGUGGAAUUCUGGAGAGUGCAUGCUUUCAUCGGAGACUUCACAAAGCAUUCACAACAGGACUCUUUCCCAGGGAUACUGGUUCACAGAUGCUCUCUUUCAGCCAGCCUUGUAUCAUCAGAUUUUUUGCAAACCUGAGCCUAAGGACAUGUGAUCCUGAAUCACUUCCACUGAAAUGCCCUAGGAUUGUUUUGAGACAAAAGCUUGGCUCAUGGUGGCUUUUCUCAGAAAAGCAAGCAGAGGGGAGCUGUCAUGAGCCAUGUUUUACUGCAGUGCUUUGUUGGUCUGUCUGUCUGUAUAAUUUCAAAAUUGCUGAUUCAUCUCCAGGCUUUGAAACUAGUGACUCCAAACAUGGCCCUUUUCUAACUUUGGGAACAUUUUUUCAUGGUAUGUAGAUAAAUGACAUGUUAAUGUAAAUUGUCAGGCUCAGCCUAGAGUUAAUCUGUUUUGCUGUAUGGAAGGCAAAACAAGAAAAUUCCUUCAAGGCUGUUCCUCAGAUUUAGCUCCAGUUGCAUUCUCUCUGUUCCUGCCAAAAUGUGAGCAAUGGUCAGAAAAAAUUGUUCUUCAGCAUGGGGGAGUCAAACAGCUAAUGAGCAAAACCAAGCCCAUCCCUCUGCGAUCUAAACCAAUGCACAAAGAUGGCUCUGAGAGAGCGCUCUGCAAGCUCCUUCCUGUUUGCUAUAGGUUGCACAGUUGGAUACCCUAAUUGAGAAAGGCUAGAUGCAUCACUAGUGAAAAAAGUCUCUCAUCACUGGGAUUUGCAUACGGUAGCAUGACAUUGUGCAGCCACGCAAGAAAUUGUAGUGCAGAGGCCUUGUUUCUGUGGUCAACUUAAAGAAGCUGACAUGAUAUUCAGUAAAAGCACAGUAUGGGAAGUUUACCUCAGAGGUAUGGGUUUCUGAACUACUGCAUACCCAUGUGUGGGGUUUGCUUACAUGAGAGCAGGUUCAAAUCAGAAUGAGCGAAACAAGAGACAAGUCCAUUUAAUUUUGAAUUUCACUGUGCUCUAGAUAAUGUGUAGGGGCUCAUCUGUUUUCCCCCACAGUGCUCAGGACAAACUGUAACUGCCUGUAAGUGUUUCUAGUUAUAGAAAGCAAAAAUCUUGCAAAAUCCCAUCUUAGCUAUUUACAAGUAAGAUUCUGGAUGGAUACACCUGUCAUUUAAUCAGACAUUUAGCUGUGUUUAGAAUAACAUCUGUGUUUUGAAGCAGAGGUAAAAAAAAAAAACUAUAUUAAUGUCCUUUAUAUAUACAUGUUGUUAAAUGUGUAUAUUAGCUGCCACUGAAACGAGUACUUGAAUGUGGAUGUGACAAAUCUGUCUUUGGUAAAUAAUUCAGGUCAUCUAAGCUGAUCUCAACUAAGAUUGGACUUAUGUCCAGGUACUGAACUUCCCUUUCCUGUGUUUUCAGAUCACUGUAAUUUAAUAUUCCAGGAUGCACAUGAUUUACCAAGCAAGAAAACCUAUUUGUUAUUGAGACCAAUAAUUUUAAGAUACCACUGAAGGAUACAGGUUAUUCUUUUCUGAAAAACAGAAUUAAUGCAGUUCUUCAUUUCUGAACUGAAGAGUUCCUUAUUUUCUCUCUUACAUAACCACCCACAUUUAAAAGGAUGGAAAAAUAGGAAAGUGGAAGAAUAAAACUUUGUGCUUACUGUUUUGGAGACGGUAUCCUUGCCAGAUGACUCAGAAUUCAAGGUACUGCUCACUUGGCAUUGCAAACUGAAAGUCAAGUACUAACUUCAAUAAUGUGAAAGAGGAGACAAGACUGAAUUGAAAUGCAUUGCCUGGAAAGUGAGGUGGACCUGUUUAGUUGUACCCUGACAACCAAUACCAUCACUAUUACAUGCUCUUUCUACGCAUUCCUCCAAGAGAUGCAUCCUGUAACACAGAUAUGGAGCAUGAAAGGAAAAGCAUGCCUAAAAAUUGUAAUAAUGAGAAGAGGGAGGAGAAAUUUCGAAUGGUUAGUCUAUUGGCUUUCUUCCAUAGCCUGCAGUUAAAUAUUUAAUGCUCUAGCUAAGUUACCUGUGAAGUUAGAGUUCUGACUGGACAGUAUGAUGAUGCCCUGAGAGAAAACAGAUUUUGGCAUUAUUUCACAUGAAAUCCUUGGAAUUAACUGGGGAAACAUGGUCCUUAGGAAACUGAGUUGAGAGAAAAAUAGAUUAUCUCAAGAUAAGCUGAUAUCUGGAUGUUGUUCUCAAUGUUUCAGCUUAAAAACAAGAGCAAGUUGGAUUCCUCAUAGGUUGUUUUUGGGGGUUUUUAAUUUUUUUAAACAACGAAUGAAGGAAUCUGAUCUCUGGCCUUUGGAUAUACAGUAAAAAUCUGAGUUCACUGGGUGUUUUUGGUCAGUAAGCUUAAACUGAAACUAUAGCGGUAGGGAUGGAUACUAGGAAGAAAAUCUAAAAUAAAAGAUGAUAAAAUACUGUCUUAGCUGUGGAGAUGUUUAAGAAUAGGAAAAACAUCAGGAAUGACAAGAACUGAGCACAUGCUAUGUAACUUUCUGAAGUGCUUUUCAAAUUUCUUGUUGUAUAGUGCAGUAAAUUACACAUGAAGGAUACAUUUGAAAAGCUAUGUACAAGUAGUACAUUUAUGGAAAGUUAACUUCUAGUUAGCUGAACCAAAAGUGAAGGCUUCUUCUCUGAAGAGUUUGGAGAAUACUGAAUUGAUAAUGAUGUACUGAGUAAUUCUUUUCUACUGCACCAUCAAAUUAACAUGACUGCAUCUGUCAGCCAUAUGCCAUUCCAGUCUUUCCUGUCCCAAUUUCAUUAAUAGCACUGGGCCGGACUGGGCAGAAUUCCUGUUUGUGUAGGCAGGUGACCUGUCUCAUUAAUGUCGUCUUGCUUUCUGUUUUAGUGAGUUUAAACUCAAUAGUAUGACACUUCAAAAUCAUGUAUUUCAAGAGUUCCUGGGUGGCAGAAAUAAAAAUGCACUGUUUAUUUUCAGUCUCCUGCCUCUGGCACCUUACGGAGACCAUGUUUAUGCUGUGUUCCCCCUGUCUUAUUUGUUCUGAACCAUGUCCCACACAGCAGGGCUGCAAAUCCUAGGAGAAGCUGCUGUAAUACAGACAAUGAUCUCAGCUGACAUGAAUAUGAACUCUGUGUUUUGUCUGAAAAUAAUUAUUCUAGUGAAUUGAUCCUCUAGUGAAGUGAUGGCUUGACCUUCCUGUGCUGAAUUAUUCCCUUAGAAAACUGUGGGACACAUGCAGGAAGCUGUUUUUUGUAAGGCUGGAUGAUGGUUCAGAGAUAUGUGAGGUGAUUGUUCUCUGGCAGAAAGAAAAUCUCAGUGACACAGAUAUGGUAAUAAAGACCCUUGCUGCUUUAAUGAAAAGGCACCUAAAUGCUGCUGUGUUAAGAAAGCUUUCAGAAGACAAAACCAAGGCUAUCUAAUACAGACAGCUGAACAGUCUGCAUACAAGUGCAGUUUUGGUAUGUGGAUGGGGGCUGUUGUGUCUGAAAUAGUAAAUAAUUG
Long non-coding RNA from Phasianus colchicus (ring-necked pheasant), 3969 nucleotides. RefSeq lists it as uncharacterized. NCBI's taxonomy places the organism in Eukaryota, Metazoa, Chordata, Aves, Galliformes, Phasianidae. The record is from RefSeq and is a predicted model, not a curated record.